This 100-nucleotide microRNA precursor is filed under the name Otolemur garnettii (small-eared galago). RNAcentral's name for it is "miRNA (ENSOGAG00000022233.1)". Lineage: Eukaryota; Metazoa; Chordata; Mammalia; Primates; Galagidae. The record is from RNAcentral.
AGUGGAAUGGAUAGGUCAUAGGGUAGGUGUAAGUUUAGUUUGGAAAGAAAUUGUCAAACCUUUUCCAAAGCAGCUGUACCAUUUCCAGUCUCCUCGGCAA